RNAcentral lists this unclassified non-coding RNA (211 nucleotides) under plant metagenome. RNAcentral's name for it is "partial contains small subunit ribosomal RNA, internal transcribed spacer 1, and 5.8S ribosomal RNA". The record is from RNAcentral.
UUUCCGUAGGUGAACCUGCGGAAGGAUCAUUCAUAAUAAAGUGUUUUAUGGCACUUUUUAAAAAUCCAUAUCCACCCUGUGUGCAAUGUUAGAUCUCGUCAAUCUUGGCGAGAUUUUUAUACAUCAACUCAUUCUUUAACUAAUUUGUCUGAAGAAUAUUAUGAAUACUUAAUUCAAAAUACAACUUUCAACAACGGAUCUCUUGGCUCUC